This is a non-coding RNA of Ameiurus melas (black bullhead), 73 nucleotides long. The record is from the annotation of a GenBank genome assembly. NCBI's taxonomy places the organism in Eukaryota, Metazoa, Chordata, Actinopteri, Siluriformes, Ictaluridae.
CUAACGGUGGCUUAGUGGUUAACACGUCUGCCUCACACCCCUGGGGUUGGGGGUUCGACUCCCUCCCCGUAUG